Molecule: ribosomal RNA, 700 nt
Filed under: uncultured Strobilomyces
Lineage: Eukaryota; Fungi; Basidiomycota; Agaricomycetes; Boletales; Boletaceae
Description: eukaryotic LSU rRNA
Rfam family: 5.8S ribosomal RNA (bases 165-319)
Source: RNAcentral
AUCAUUAUCGAACGAACAGGGGACUGUGCUGGCUCCUUCAUGGGAGCAUGUGCACGUCUCUACUCUCACACACACACUUGUGCACUCACUGUAGGUCCUCGCGAGAGGAUCUAUGUCUUCUACACACCCAGAUGUAUGGCCACAGAAUGUAGUUAUUUCAGUACAACUUUCAGCGAUGGAUCUCUUGGCUCUCGCAUCGAUGAAGGACGCAGCGAAUCGCGAUAAGUAAUGUGAAUUGCAGAUUUCCAGUGAAUCAUCGAAUCUUUGAACGCACCUUGCGCUCCUUGGUACUCCGAGGAGCAUGCCUGUCUGAGUGUCCCAUGAGUUCUCAAGCCCAUGCUUCGGCAUGGCUUGGAUGUGGGGGCUGCUGGCGUCGAAAGGCGUCAGCUCCCCUGAAAUGCAUUAGUGAAGACCAGUGGGUCUGGGCAAGCAUGGCUGUCUCGACGUGAUAACGAUCGUCGUCGGCCAGCAUGUCUGGGCUCGCACGCUCGCGGUCGUUUCGCUCCUAACCCCAGCGGAAGAGGUCAGCUUGGCUAGUAGUCGGUCGUGAGGCCGGCGAACGUGGGGCUGGGCUCGGACCACCCAGCGAAGAGGUCAGCUCUGCCAGUAGUCGGUCGUGAGGCCGGCGAUCGUGGGGCUGGGCUUGGAGCGCCCUUGAUGAACGGACCUCAGAUCAGGUAGGACUACCCGCUGAACUUAA